This 84-nucleotide transfer RNA is filed under the name Poterioochromonas malhamensis. RNAcentral's name for it is "tRNA-Tyr". It matches the Rfam family "tRNA". Rfam says of the family: Transfer RNA (tRNA) molecules are approximately 80 nucleotides in length. Their secondary structure includes four short double-helical elements and three loops (D, anti-codon, and T loops). Lineage: Eukaryota; Synurophyceae; Ochromonadales; Ochromonadaceae. The record is from RNAcentral.
GGGUCGAUGCCCGAGAGGUUAAAGGGGAUGGAUUGUAAAUCCAUUGAGAAAUUCUCUUCAUAGGUUCAAAUCCUAUUCGACCCA